This 120-nucleotide transfer RNA is filed under the name Burkholderia sp. FERM BP-3421. Its description in RNAcentral is "tRNA-OTHER". The record is from RNAcentral. Lineage: Bacteria; Pseudomonadati; Pseudomonadota; Betaproteobacteria; Burkholderiales; Burkholderiaceae. RNAcentral also lists the same sequence under 1 other name.
GCGGGAGGGCGAAAGGGCGGCGCGGCGACAUUGAAAUACGGUCUUUAACUACGCAAUCAUUACCCACGGAGGACGCGGAGCCGCUUCUGGCUUGCCGGUUCAAGUCCGGUCCCCGCACCA